This 447-nucleotide ribosomal RNA is filed under the name uncultured bacterium. Its description in RNAcentral is "partial 16S ribosomal RNA". It matches the Rfam family "Bacterial small subunit ribosomal RNA", at positions 29 to 523 of the family's 1533-position model. The record is from RNAcentral.
AGUGAACGCUGGCGGCAGGCCUAACACAUGCAAGUCGAACGCUCCGCAAGGGGAGUGGCGCACGGGUGAGUAACGCGUGGGAAUCUACCUAUUAGUAAGGAAUAACAGUUGGAAACGACUGCUAAUACCUUAUACGCCCUACGGGGGAAAGAUUUAUCGCUAAUAGAUGAGCCCGCGUAAGAUUAGCUAGUUGGUGAGGUAAUGGCUCACCAAGGCUACGACCUUUAGCUGGUCUGAGAGGAUGAUCAGCCACACUGGAACUGAGACACGGUCCAGACUCCUACGGGAGGCAGCAGUGGGGAAUAUUGGACAAUGGGCGAAAGCCUGAUCCAGCCAUGCCGCGUGAAUGAUGAAGGCCUUAGGGUUGUAAAGUUCUUUCGCCGCCGAGGAUAAUGACGGUAAGCGGAUAAGAAGCCCCGGCUAACUUCGUGCCAGCCGCCGCGGUAA